UACGGAGGGGGUUAGCGUUGUUCGGAAUUACUGGGCGUAAAGCGCGCGUAGGCGGAUUGGAAAGUUGGGGGUGAAAUCCCCGGGGCUCAACCCCCGGAACUGCCUCCCAAAACUUCCAGUCUGGAGUUCGAGAGAGGUGAGUGGAAUUCCGAGUGUAGAGGUGAAAUUCGUAGAUAUUCGGAGGAACACCAGUGGCGAAGGCGGCUCACUGGCUCGAUACUGACGCUGAGGUGCGAAAAGUGUGGGGGAGCAAAACAGGAUUAGAUACCCCGGGGUAGU
RNAcentral lists this ribosomal RNA (279 nucleotides) under uncultured bacterium. Its description in RNAcentral is "partial 16S ribosomal RNA". It matches the Rfam family "Bacterial small subunit ribosomal RNA", at positions 524 to 794 of the family's 1533-position model. The record is from RNAcentral.